GUCCAUUUCUGGGAGGUAAUUUUUAAUUUUGGUACCAAUUUUUAGUAUAAUAGCGUCUACAUCCAUUAUCAGGAAUCUUGGAGUGUAUGUUUGCGUUUUUAAUAUUACCCGUCAAUGAUAUUUGAAUAGAUACCGCAUACAGUCAGCCGAUAAGGUCUGAAUUCCACCUAUUAUCUAAUAAAGUUCCCUUAAAUUUAAAAAUAAUAUUAUAUAUAUUUUUUUCUUAUUCUCUCCCAUCUACUCAAGUAAUAAAUAGGUAAAGGUAAUUAUAAUUUAUACGGUAAUAACGUAUUAUUUAAAAAAAUGUUUGUGUUUUCAUCGCCAGGAGUCUGGAGUAGUCACGCACGGUGCUUAAUAUUUAUAAUUUAUAAAGUUAUUGAUUUUGUUUCGAAUAGUGGCUGUAAAGUACAAAGUGAAAGGGAAAUGAUUGGGAUCCAGCAAAGGAACGUUUACCGUGUGUCGAGUAGAUGAAUUUCCGGGAACGAUGAUAUUAUUUUAUUUGUGUUGAACCGCAAUCAAUAAGUCAGUCCCGCGCCGUAAUGAUAUGCUAUGUCUGUCAAUCAUCUCCAUAUUUUCGGUUUGGCGAUGGUGUCCGAUUACUUUACAAAGUCACGCCACGCCCGGGCCGUUGCCGGGCAACGAUAUGCCACCGCAGUCGGCAUUUACGAUGCCGAAACGACGACGACACUGCAGCGAUCACUGCUCAUUGACAAACGGUGCGCCCAUGACGUCGUUGCAAAUUACAUAAUUUUCGUCAUGGGCGCACCGUUUGAAGUUCAGCCGCCAUCGUUUUACGUUUCACGGUCAGGCCUAACUCGCCUGAUUCCUCGGACGCUGCAGCACUCUGCUGGUUGUCUGGCACUUGCGAACCGCCUACACCUGUUGCACUCUCGUCAUGUGGACUUGUCCGAACUUUUCGGACGUUUUUGUAACGAAUAGUAACAAAGUUACCAAAGUAACAAAGUUACACACAAUGCUAUCAAUAGACUAGUCAAUAAACACGCUUUGCAUGCUGAGAGCUUACAAAAGAAAUCCUGCGUUCCCGUUUUCUUUACCGUCGACUAUACAAUUUAACAUCUACUACCCUGUAAAAAUGGAAAAAGAUGAUUAAAAACUUGCAAAAAAUCUACUUCAAUGAGGUAAUUUAUUGAAGUUUUAAGACCGUUUUAUGAUUUUUACCAUUUUAAUGAAAUUGAAAUAAAAAGCUCAACUCAUCAAAAUGUUCAGAGUAUAUUCAUGAAGAAGGUUAAUUUAAAAUUAUUACUUCAGCUUAGUACAGUUGAACAAAAUAUUUCAUAGUAAAUCAACUAAACAAUCAUUGGAUAGUGAAUAUUCAACGACUAAUAAUCAACGUGUGGAACGAAACCUUAUAAUUUAUAAUAAUGACAUCAUUCGGACUGAUGUGUGUGCUCUAAGUAUGUAAAGUAUUGUAAACAUAUAAAAUGUUUGAAAAAUAAUAUAACAUCAUUAAAAUUAUGAAAAAUUUAAUAUAGAUAGAUUAUUAUUGAAUUUAAUAUAGAUUAUUUUAUUAAGUGUAAAUUAAGAAAAUGGUUGUGUAUUUUUUUUCUUUUUUAUAUGAUUUUCUAAGUGAGGUAUCAAAAGAAUUCUAAAAAAAUUCUUAUAAUCCUUACUUAUUAUCAAAGAACCACACUUAACUACCUCAUUACAAUAUAUUUGUAUAAUAAGUUAAAGUAUUAUUGGAUAUAAUAUGAAAAUGUGUGUAAUAAAUAUAAUUAAAGCUUUUAAUAUUUGUUAAUAUAUUUUAGAUGAACUUAAUUUACAACUAAAAUAUUUUAAUUAUACUGCUCGAAUUUUGCUCUUCAAGUACAAUUAACCUACAGUAAUUUUGGAGAACUUAAUUUUUAACUAAUUAUCUAUAUUAAUGUUGACCGUCUUUGUGUAAUUGCAUGUUUUACAUUUUAGUAAGCGGUUUAUUUAAUUACUAUUAACGUUUAAUAAUAUGUGAAAUAGUAUAUAUUAUAUACAAAUACACUUUUAUAAUUAAUCUUUUAUAUUGAAUAUAUUAAUACAAAGUA
Long non-coding RNA from Aphis gossypii (cotton aphid), 2036 nucleotides. RefSeq lists it as uncharacterized. Lineage: Eukaryota; Metazoa; Arthropoda; Insecta; Hemiptera; Aphididae. The record is from RefSeq and is a predicted model, not a curated record. The transcript is spliced from 4 exons.